RNAcentral lists this long non-coding RNA (881 nucleotides) under Ananas comosus (pineapple). RNAcentral describes it as "long non-coding RNA (ACOM_LNC001903)". The record is from RNAcentral. Lineage: Eukaryota; Viridiplantae; Streptophyta; Magnoliopsida; Poales; Bromeliaceae.
GAGAAGGGCGAAAAAUAAUUAAGGGUUCGCCCUUUAAUGAUAUUGUAUUGAUACUUUAUAUGUCAUUUGGACUAUGGAUAUUUGAUUAUAUUUAAUUUAUUUGAUUUAAUAUUAUUUAUAAUUAUUAAUAAUUAUUUAUUUAUUAAUUUAAUAUUAAUUAAUUAUUUAUAAUUUAUAAUUAUUAAUAAUUUAUUAUUAUCUAUUAAUUUAUUAUUAUUUAUAAUUAAUAAUUAAUUAAUUAAUUAAUUAGUUUUUUAUUAAUUAAUUAAUUAAUUAAUUUUUUACUAGUUAAUUAAUUAAUAAUUUAUAAUUACUUAUAAUUUAUCAUUAAUUAAUAAUUUAUAAUUAUUUAUAAUUUAUAAUUUAUUUUAUUAUUAUUUAGAUAAUUUAUAAUUUAUAAUUAUUNAAUUUAUAAUUUAUAAUUAUUAAUACUUUAUUAUUUAUAAUUUAUUAUUAUUUAAUUAAUUUAUUAUUUAUAAUUAUUAAUAUUAAUUUAUUAUUUUUAAGUAAUAUUUUGAUGUUAAUUAAUUAGAUAAAAUAAUUUUAAUUUAAAAUUAUAAUUCUUAUUCGUUUUGUUCCAAUCUAACAAUCCAAACACUAUUUGCCUUAUUCCUAGAAACAACUCAAUUUUCAUUUAAAUGUAAAAUUAGUCUAGUUCCUACUUAUACCUGAACUUGUACCUAUCCCUAGAAUAAGUAAUUCUUACUUAUACUCGAACCAAACGCAAAAAGUCUCCCUAAUAUGUAAUUGAAAAGGAUGGUCCGAUUUUGCCAAAAAAAAGAAAAUUACUAAAUUUUUUUAUGUAAAAUAACUAAAAUAAUAUAAUAUAAAAAAAUAAUAUGAAAGUAUAGAAUAAUAGGAGUUGAGCUGGACGUGCUUUU